UCUUCGGAGAGUUUGAUCCUGGCUCAGGACGAACGCUGGCGGCGUGCCUAAUACAUGCAAGUCGAGCGAAUCGAUGGGAGCUUGCUCCCUGAGAUUAGCGGCGGACGGGUGAGUAACACGUGGGCAACCUGCCUAUAAGACUGGGAUAACUUCGGGAAACCGGAGCUAAUACCGGAUACGUUCUUUUCUCGCAUGAGAGAAAGAGAA
Molecule: ribosomal RNA, 207 nt
Filed under: Bacillus sp. BA3
Lineage: Bacteria; Bacillati; Bacillota; Bacilli; Caryophanales; Bacillaceae
Description: partial 16S ribosomal RNA
Rfam family: Bacterial small subunit ribosomal RNA
Source: RNAcentral